Molecule: transfer RNA, 74 nt
Organism: Escovopsis weberi
Lineage: Eukaryota; Fungi; Ascomycota; Sordariomycetes; Hypocreales; Hypocreaceae
Rfam family: tRNA
About the family: Transfer RNA (tRNA) molecules are approximately 80 nucleotides in length. Their secondary structure includes four short double-helical elements and three loops (D, anti-codon, and T loops).
Source: Rfam
UCCCUCAUGGCGCAAUUGGCUAGCGCGUCUGACUGUUAAUCAGGAGGUUGGAAGUUCGAGCCUUCCUGAGGGAG